RNAcentral lists this non-coding RNA (242 nucleotides) under Clostridium celatum. RNAcentral's name for it is "T-box sequence". It matches the Rfam family "T-box leader". From Rfam's summary of the family: Uncharged tRNA acts as the effector for transcription antitermination of genes in the T-box leader family. Lineage: Bacteria; Bacillati; Bacillota; Clostridia; Eubacteriales; Clostridiaceae. The record is from RNAcentral.
UUAAAGACUAUGAUUAGGAAAAGUACUUUUAUUAAUUUUUUAAGAGAGUGAUUGGUUGGUGUGAAAUCAUAAGAUUAUUUAAGGAAAAUCACCUAGGAGUUGGAGGCUGAAAGCUAUGCAAUUAAGCUGUCACGUUAGCCCGCGUUAAGGGAUAGGAUAUGAAAGUAUCUGAAAUUUGGCUCAUAGUAUAGUUAUGAGUUUAUUAACCUUAGGUGGUAUAGCGAAUUCACUUCGUCCUUUUG